RNAcentral lists this ribosomal RNA (493 nucleotides) under uncultured bacterium. RNAcentral's name for it is "bacterial SSU rRNA". It matches the Rfam family "Bacterial small subunit ribosomal RNA", at positions 8 to 518 of the family's 1533-position model. The record is from RNAcentral.
AGAGUUUGAUUAUGGCUCAGGAUGAACACUGGCGGCACGCCUAACACAUGCAAGUCGAACGGAGUUAUUGAAGCUUGCUUGAUAACUUAGUGGCGGACGGUGAGUAACACGUGAGCAACCUGCCUUCAGAGAGGGAUAGCUUCUGGAAACGGAUGGUAAUACCUCAUAACAUAUUGAUACGGCAUCGUAUUGAUAUCAAAGAUUUAUCGCUGAAAGAUGGGCUCGCGUCUGAUUAGCUGGUUGGUGAGGUAACGGCCCACCAAGGCAACGAUCAGUAGCCGGACUGAGAGGUUGAACGGCCACAUUGGGACUGAGACACGGCCCAGACUCCUACGGGAGGCAGCAGUGGGGAAUAUUGCACAAUGGGCGCAAGCCUGAAUGCAGCGAUGCCGCGUGAGGGAAGAAGGUUUUCGGAUUGUAAACCUCUGUCAUCGGGGACGAAAAUGACGGUACCCGAGAAGGAAGCUCCGGCUAACUACGUGCCAGCCGCAGC